Molecule: ribosomal RNA, 449 nt
Filed under: uncultured bacterium
Lineage: Bacteria
Description: partial 16S ribosomal RNA
Rfam family: Bacterial small subunit ribosomal RNA
Source: RNAcentral
AGCGAACGCUGGCGGCAGGCCUAACACAUGCAAGUCGAACGAACUCUUCGGAGUUAGUGGCGGACGGGUGAGUAACACGUGGGAACGUGCCUUUAGGUUCGGAAUAACUCAGGGAAACUUGUGCUAAUACCGAAUGUGCCCUUCGGGGGAAAGAUUUAUCGCCUUUAGAGCGGCCCGCGUCUGAUUAGCUAGUUGGUGAGGUAAAGGCUCACCAAGGCGACGAUCAGUAGCUGGUCUGAGAGGAUGAUCAGCCACAUUGGGACUGAGACACGGCCCAAACUCCUACGGGAGGCAGCAGUGGGGAAUCUUGCGCAAUGGGCGAAAGCCUGACGCAGCCAUGCCGCGUGAAUGAUGAAGGUCUUAGGAUUGUAAAAUUCUUUCACCGGGGACGAUAAUGACGGUACCCGGAGAAGAAGCCCCGGCUAACUUCGUGCCAGCCGCCGCCGCUG